UACGGAGGGGGCGAGCGUUAUUCGGAAUUAUUGGGCGUAAAGGGCGCGUAGGCGGCUUCAUAAGUCAAAGGUGAAAUCCCUCGGCUCAACUGAGGAAGUGCAUCCGAAACUGGCAGGCUAGAGUACUAAAGAGGGUCGCGGAAUUCCCGGUGUAGAGGUGAAAUUCGUAGAUAUCGGGAGGAACACCGGUGGCGAAGGCGGCGACCUGGGUAGAUACUGACGCUGAGGCGCGAAAGCGUGGGGAGCAAACAGG
Molecule: ribosomal RNA, 253 nt
Filed under: uncultured bacterium
Lineage: Bacteria
Description: partial 16S ribosomal RNA
Rfam family: Bacterial small subunit ribosomal RNA
Source: RNAcentral